UUCAAUGAUGUGCUAUGGAAGAUGGUGAUCGAUGAUGAACUACAAUCCAAGAUAAGUAAAUUGGCUGAUGAUUAUGAGCGGACGGAGGGUAAAUGUUUCACCAAGCAAAUGGCAAUUAAAGACCGCGACAAAAAGAUACUUUGGUGGAAUGCAUAUGGUGGCCUUGCUUUUGACCUCAAAUCUUUUGCAAAUCGGAUCAUUAGUCUAUGUUGUUCAUCGUCUGGCUGUGAGCGCAAUUGGAGUGCAUUUUCUAAUAUACAUACCAAAGGAAGAAGCCGUUUGGAGUAUAAGAGAUUGAAUAAGCUAGCAUAUUUCUCAUACAACCGGCAAAUGACAACUAGGUUUGAAAAGUUAAGCAAGCAAGGUUCCAAAGGAAAGAGGGCUAAUGCACUUAUCCUAGAAGAAUUUCAAUGGGAUAAUGAAUGGGUUGAUAUUACUACUGAAUUGGUUCAUCAAAAUGACGCUAUGGACGAUGACAAUGCACUACUUUGGUCCCAUGUUGAUCAGGCCGUUGGCGCGACCGAUGGUCUAAGUGGACGUCAUCUUCCAAGGAGGGCUUGUGGUGAUUUCAGUGAGUCUAGUCCUCCCGCUGGCUCUAUCUUUUACACUCGAAGGACAAGUGUGGUUGUCCAUGAUGAAGACUUGCGGACUGAAUUGGAAGCUGAAGAUAUUGAUAGUGACAUGGAGACCAAUGGUGAAGACAAUGAGGACCCUACAUGA
RNAcentral lists this ribosomal RNA (720 nucleotides) under Triticum aestivum (bread wheat). Its description in RNAcentral is "partial small subunit ribosomal RNA". Lineage: Eukaryota; Viridiplantae; Streptophyta; Magnoliopsida; Poales; Poaceae. The record is from RNAcentral.